AAAACUUUCAGCAACGGAUCUCUUGGUUCUGGCAUCGAUGAAGAACGCAGCGAAAUGCGAUAAGUAAUGUGAAUUGCAGAAUUCAGUGAAUCAUCGAAUCUUUGAACGCACAUUGCGCUCGCCAGUAUUCUGGCGAGCAUGCCUGUCCGAGCGUCAUUUCAACCCUCAGGCCCCGUUCGCGGGAUCUGGUGUUGGGGAUCGGCCGUCCUUCGCGGCGGCCGGCCCUGAAAUGGAGUGGCGGUCUCGUCGCGACCUCCUCUGUGUAGUAGUUAUACCUCGCAGCUGGAUAGCGGCGCGGCCACGCCGUAAAACCCCCUACUUCUCAAGGUUGACCUCGGAUCAGGUAGGAAUACCCGCUGAACUUAAGCAUAUCAAUAAGCGGAGGAAAAGAAACCAACAGGGAUUGCCCUAGUAACGGCGAGUGAAGCGGCAACAGCUCAAAUUUGAAAUCUGGCCCUAGGCCCGAGUUGUAAUUUGUAGAGGAUGCUUCUGGCGACGUGCCUUCCGAGUUCCCUGGAACGGGACGCCAUAGAGGGUGAGAGCCCCGUCCGGUCGUGCGCCUAGCCUCUGUGAAGCUCCUUCGACGAGUCGAGUAGUUUGGGAAUGCUGCUCUAAAUGGGAGGUAUACGUCUUCUAAAGCUAAAUACCGGCCAGAGACCGAUAGCGCACAAGUAGAGUGAUCGAAAGAUGAAAAGCACUUUGAAAAGAGGGUUAAAUAGUACGUGAAAUUGCUGAAAGGGAAGCGCUUAUGACCAGACUUGGGCCGGUUAAUCAUCCAGCGUUCUCGCUGGUGCACUUUGCCGGUCCAGGCCAGCAUCAGUUUGCCUUGGGGGAUAAAGGCUUCGGGAAUGUAGCUCCCUCGGGAGUGUUAUAGCCCGUUGUGUAAUACCCUGGGGCAGACUGAGGUACGCGUUCUGCAAGGAUGCUGGCGUAAUGGUCAUCAGUGACCCGUCUUGAAACACGGACC
This 967-nucleotide ribosomal RNA is filed under the name uncultured Hypocreales. RNAcentral's name for it is "eukaryotic LSU rRNA". The stretch from base 330 to 967 matches the Rfam family "Eukaryotic large subunit ribosomal RNA", at positions 1 to 667 of the family's 3401-position model. The record is from RNAcentral. Lineage: Eukaryota; Fungi; Ascomycota; Sordariomycetes; Hypocreales.